CGUCGACGUACGUCUACGAGAGGUUAGUUAGUACGUAUGGACGUCAGGACGAACGCUGCGGCAUGCCUAACACAUGCAAGUCGAACGGAAGUAGAAAUACUUAGUGGCGAACGGGUGAGUAACACGUGAGCAACCUGCCUUACACACAGGGAUAACAGUUGGAAACGACUGCUAAUACCGGAUAAGACCACACUAUGGCAUCAUAGAGGGGUCAAAGUGAUUUAGCGGUGUAAGAUGGGCUCGCGUCCAAUUAGCUAGUUGGUGAGGUAACGGCCCACCAAGGCGACGAUUGGUAGCCGACUUGAGAGAGUGAUCGGCCACACUGGAACUGAGACACGGUCCAGACUCCUACGGGAGGCAGCAGUGGGGAAUAUUGGGCAAUGGAGGAAACUCUUACCCAGCCAAUGCCGCGUGAGUGAUGAAGGUCUUUGGAUUGUAAAGCUCUUUGAUUGGGGACGAAUAAAUGACGGUACCCAAAGAACAAGCCCCGGCUAACUAUGUGCCAGCAGCCGC
This 513-nucleotide ribosomal RNA is filed under the name uncultured bacterium. Its description in RNAcentral is "bacterial SSU rRNA". It matches the Rfam family "Bacterial small subunit ribosomal RNA", at positions 1 to 518 of the family's 1533-position model. The record is from RNAcentral.